UAAAAUGCUAACUCCCCUGAUUAAGGAGCCUGACAGUAUGGCUAGUACCACAAUGGGCGUGAAACUC
This 67-nucleotide small RNA is filed under the name Yersinia kristensenii. RNAcentral's name for it is "PutA 5' UTR thermometer". It matches the Rfam family "PutA 5' UTR thermometer". From Rfam's summary of the family: Position upstream of pepN gene responsible for amino acid processing. Lineage: Bacteria; Pseudomonadati; Pseudomonadota; Gammaproteobacteria; Enterobacterales; Yersiniaceae. The record is from RNAcentral.